UGGGGAAUUUUGGACAAUGGGCGAAAGCCUGAUCCAGCAAUGCCGCGUGUGUGAAGAAGGCCUUCGGGUUGUAAAGCACUUUUGUCCGGAAAGAAAUCCUUGGCUCUAAUACAGUCGGGGGAUGACGGUACCGGAAGAAUAAGCACCGGCUAACUACGUGCCAGCAGCCGCGGUAAUACGUAGGGUGCAAGCGUUAAUCGGAAUUACCGGGCGUAAAGCGUGCGCAGGCGGUUUGCUAAGACCGAUGUGAAAUCCCCGGGCUCAACCUGGGAACUGCAUUGGUGACUGGCAGGCUAGAGUAUGGCAGAGGGGGGUAGAAUUCCACGUGUAGCAGUGAAAUGCGUAGAGAUGUGGAGGAAUACCGAUGGCGAAGGCAGCCCCCUGGGCCAAUACUGACGCUCAUGCACGAAAGCGUGGGGAGCAAACAGGAUUAGAUACCCUGGUAGUCCACGCCCUAAACGAUGUCAACUAGUUGUUGGGGAUUCAUUUCCUUAGUAACGUAGCUAACGCGUGAAGUUGACCGCCUGGGGAGUACGGUCGCAAGGUUAAAACUCAAAUGAAUUGACGGGGUCAUAGCUGUUUCCU
RNAcentral lists this ribosomal RNA (585 nucleotides) under uncultured bacterium. RNAcentral's name for it is "partial 16S ribosomal RNA". It matches the Rfam family "Bacterial small subunit ribosomal RNA", at positions 355 to 1375 of the family's 1533-position model. The record is from RNAcentral.